RNAcentral lists this ribosomal RNA (934 nucleotides) under uncultured archaeon. Its description in RNAcentral is "bacterial SSU rRNA". It matches the Rfam family "Archaeal small subunit ribosomal RNA", at positions 1 to 936 of the family's 1478-position model. The record is from RNAcentral.
UUCCGGUUGAUCCUGCCGGAGGUUACUGCUAUCGGUGUUCGCCUAAGCCAUGCGAGUCAUAUGUAGCAAUACAUGGCGUACUGCUCAGUAACACGUGGAUAACCUGCCCUUGGGUCCGGCAUAACCCCGGGAAACUGGGGAUAAUUCCGGAUAACGCAUAUGUGCUGGAAUGCUUUAUGCGUCAAAUGGAUUCGUCCGCCCAAGGAUGGGUCUGCGGCCUAUCAGGUAGUAGUGGGUGUAAUGUACCUACUAGCCAGCGACGGGUACGGGUUGUGAGAGCAAGAGCCCGGAGAUGGAUUCUGAGACAUGAAUCCAGGCCCUACGGGGCGCAGCAGGCGCGAAAACUUUACAAUGCGGGAAACCGUGAUAAGGGGACACCGAGUGUCAGCAUCAUAUGCUGGCUGUCCAGGUGUGUAAAAUACACCUGUUAGCAAGGGCCGGGCAAGACCGGUGCCAGCCGCCGCGGUAACACCGGCGGCCCGAGUGGUGAUCGUGAUUAUUGGGUCUAAAGGGUCCGUAGCCGGUUUGGUCAGUCCUCCGGGAAAUCUGAUAGCUCAACUAUUAGGCUAUCGGGGGAUACUGCCAGGCUUGGAACCGGGAGAGGUAAGAGGUACUACAGGGGUAGGAGUGAAAUCUUGUAAUCCCUGUGGGACCACCUGUGGCGAAGGCGUCUUACCAGAACGGGUUCGACGGUGAGGGACGAAAGCUGGGGGCACGAACCGGAUUAGAUACCCGGGUAGUCCCAGCCGUAAACGAUGCUCGCUAGGUGUCAGGCAUGGCGCGACCGUGUCUGGUGCCGCAGGGAAGCCGUGAAGCGAGCCACCUGGGAAGUACGGCCGCAAGGCUGAAACUUAAAGGGAUUGGCGGGGGGAGCACAACAACGGGUGGAGCCUGCGGUUUAAUUGGAUUCAACGCCCGGAAAUCUCUAAAAGGA